Molecule: ribosomal RNA, 399 nt
Filed under: Vibrio cholerae
Lineage: Bacteria; Pseudomonadati; Pseudomonadota; Gammaproteobacteria; Vibrionales; Vibrionaceae
Description: bacterial LSU rRNA
Rfam family: Bacterial large subunit ribosomal RNA
Source: RNAcentral
CUGAAGUCGGUCCCAAGGGGUAUGGCUGUUGCCAUUUAAAGUGGUACGCGAGCUGGGUUUAGAACGUCGUGAGACAGUUGGUCCCUAUCUGCCGUGGGCGUUGGAAGAUUGAAGGGGGCUGCUCCUAGUACGAGAGGACCGGAGUGGACGAACCUCUGGUGUUCGGGUUGUGUCGCCAGACGCAUUGCCCGGUAGCUAAGUUCGGAAUUGAUAAGCGCUGAAAGCAUCUAAGCGCGAAGCGAGCCCUGAGAUGAGUCUUCCCUGACAGUUUAACUGUCCUAAAGGGUUGUUCGAGACUAGAACGUUGAUAGGCAGGGUGUGUAAGCGUUGUGAGGCGUUGAGCUAACCUGUACUAAUUGCCCGUGAGGCUUAACCAUACAACACCCAAGGGGUUUUGUA